This 484-nucleotide ribosomal RNA is filed under the name uncultured bacterium. RNAcentral's name for it is "partial 16S ribosomal RNA". It matches the Rfam family "Bacterial small subunit ribosomal RNA", at positions 30 to 507 of the family's 1533-position model. The record is from RNAcentral.
AUUGAACGCUGGCGGCAUGCCUAACACAUGCAAGUCGAGCGGAUGAAGGGAGCUUGCUCCUGGAUUCAGCGGCGGACGGGUGAGUAAUGCCUAGGAAUCUGCCUGGUAGUGGGGGAUAACGUCCGGAAACGGGCGCUAAUACCGCAUACGUCCUGAGGGAGAAAGUGGGGGAUCUUCGGACCUCACGCUAUCAGAUGAGCCUAGGUCGGAUUAGCCAGUUGGUGGGGUAAAGGCCUACCAAGGCGACGAUCCGUAACUGGUCUGAGAGGAUGAUCAGUCACACUGGAACUGAGACACGGUCCAGACUCCUACGGGAGGCAGCAGUGGGGAAUAUUGGACAAUGGGCGAAAGCCUGAUCCAGCCAUGCCGCGUGUGUGAAGAAGGUCUUCGGAUUGUAAAGCACUUUAAGUUGGGAGGAAGGGCAGUAAGUUAAUACCUUGCUGUUUUGACGUUACCAACAGAAUAAGCACCGGCUAACUUCGUG